This 800-nucleotide ribosomal RNA is filed under the name Halobacillus sp. JSM 101088. Its description in RNAcentral is "bacterial SSU rRNA". It matches the Rfam family "Bacterial small subunit ribosomal RNA", at positions 36 to 801 of the family's 1533-position model. The record is from RNAcentral. Lineage: Bacteria; Bacillati; Bacillota; Bacilli; Caryophanales; Bacillaceae.
CCGGGGCGGGUGCCUAUACAUGCAAGUCGAGCGCGGGAAGCGAGUGGAUCCCCUUCGGGGGUGAAGCUCGUGGAACGAGCGGCGGACGGGUGAGUAACACGUGGGCAACCUACCUGUAAGAUCGGAAUAACCCCGGGAAACCGGGGCUAAUGCCGGGUAAUACUUUUCUUCGCAUGAAGGAAAGUUGAAAGAUGGCCUCUGGCUAUCACUUACAGAUGGGCCCGCGGCGCAUUAGCUAGUUGGUGAGGUAACGGCUCACCAAGGCAACGAUGCGUAGCCGACCUGAGAGGGUGAUCGGCCACACUGGGACUGAGACACGGCCCAGACUCCUACGGGAGGCAGCAGUAGGGAAUCUUCCGCAAUGGACGAAAGUCUGACGGAGCAACGCCGCGUGAACGAUGAAGGUCUUCGGAUCGUAAAGUUCUGUUGUUAGGGAAGAACAAGUGCCGUGCGAAUAGAGCGGCACCUUGACGGUACCUAACGAGGAAGCCCCGGCUAACUACGUGCCAGCAGCCGCGGUAAUACGUAGGGGGCAAGCGUUGUCCGGAAUUAUUGGGCGUAAAGCGCGCGCAGGCGGUUCCUUAAGUCUGAUGUGAAAGCCCACGGCUCAACCGUGGAGGGUCAUUGGAAACUGGGGAACUUGAGGACAGAAGAGGAGAGUGGAAUUCCACGUGUAGCGGUGAAAUGCGUAGAUAUGUGGAGGAACACCAGUGGCGAAGGCGACUCUCUGGUCUGUUUCUGACGCUGAGGUGCGAAAGCGUGGGUAGCAAACAGGAUUAGAUACCCUGGUAGUCCACGCC